This 492-nucleotide ribosomal RNA is filed under the name uncultured bacterium. Its description in RNAcentral is "partial 16S ribosomal RNA". It matches the Rfam family "Bacterial small subunit ribosomal RNA", at positions 29 to 507 of the family's 1533-position model. The record is from RNAcentral.
AGUGAACGCUGGCGGUAGGCCUAACACAUGCAAGUCGAACGGCAGCACAGUAAGAGCUUGCUCUUACGGGUGGCGAGUGGCGGACGGGUGAGGAAUACAUCGGAAUCUACUUUUUCGUGGGGGAUAACGUAGGGAAACUUACGCUAAUACCGCAUACGACCUACGGGUGAAAGCAGGGGAUCUUCGGACCUUGCGCGAUUGAAUGAGCCGAUGUCGGAUUAGCUAGUUGGCGGGGUAAAGGCCCACCAAGGCGACGAUCCGUAGCUGGUCUGAGAGGAUGAUCGGCCACACUGGAACUGAGACACGGUCCAGACUCCUACGGGAGGCAGCAGUGGGGAAUAUUGGGCAAUGGGCGAAAGCCUGACCGAGCAACCCCGCGUGGGUGAUGAAGGCCUUCGGAUCGUAAAGCUCUUUUAUUGGGGAAGAAAAGAAGUGGGUGUAACCCCGCAUAUCUUGACGGUACCUAAAGAGAAAGCCCCGGCUAACUACGUG